CUCCUACGCCGUGAAUCCAUUCCCUACCAAGCAGCAGGUUGUAGUUGGCUUUCGAAGCGAUGACUAUGAACAUCGUAGGUCUUGUUAUGGUUCCUACAGUUAAGUUCACUUGGAUGACUCCCAUAGUUGUUCCUAUCUUCCCUUCGUAAUUCGACAGCACCAUGUUGUGGGGCUUCGCGUCCGAAUCGUCUUUUCCAAUCUUCUUCAGCAUGUAGUGGGGCAUCAAAUUCACUGCCGCUCCCCCGUCCACCAGUAUCUUAUUCACGCCGACAUUUUCCACCUUUCC
This 286-nucleotide long non-coding RNA is filed under the name Lathyrus oleraceus (garden pea). RNAcentral's name for it is "Pisum sativum (pea) long non-coding RNA (PSAT_LNC030473)". The record is from RNAcentral. Lineage: Eukaryota; Viridiplantae; Streptophyta; Magnoliopsida; Fabales; Fabaceae.